AUACGUAGGGGGCAAGCGUUGUCCGGAUUUACUGGGUAUAAAGGGAGCGCAGGCGGAUUCGUAAGUCAGGGGUGAAAUCCUACAGCUUAACUGUAGAACUGCCUUUGAUACUGCGAGUCUUGAGAUCGGAAGAGAGAGACGGAAUUCCAGGUGUAGUGGUGAAAUACGUAGAUAUCUGGAAGAACACCGAUGGCGAAGGCAGUCUCUUGGUCCGUAUCUGACGCUGAGGCUCGAAAGCGUGGGGAGCAAACAGGAUUAGAAACCCCGGUAGUCC
This 274-nucleotide ribosomal RNA is filed under the name uncultured bacterium. Its description in RNAcentral is "partial 16S ribosomal RNA". It matches the Rfam family "Bacterial small subunit ribosomal RNA", at positions 523 to 796 of the family's 1533-position model. The record is from RNAcentral.